AAGGAUUUGAAGCUGGAAGCUGAUCUUCUUAUUUUGGGAGUGUUUGGGGAUUUGAUUGAUUGAUGGGUAUUUGACUGAUCAGAGGAUUCUUGAUAAGGAGAAAAUAAAAAACCCCACCAUGAUCUGAUCUUCUUGAUUGUUUGCUGUGUAUUAUAUACCACAAAGGGAGAGAUAGAGAGAUAAAGGGUGAGAGGAGAAAAGGAAAUAUUAAUGGUAAGAAGGUGAAAAACAACAAAGCCUCUUAUGUUCUAAACUCUAGCCACUAGGUCGUCUUCUAAUAACGUUUUUCUUAUGUUAGGUACAUUCAAUUUUAAAUUAAAACAGCAUCUAUGUAACCUUUAGGCCAUAUUGAUGUAUAUAAAACCUUAAAAUAAAGCUAGACAAUGUAAAUGGAUAUAUAUUGGGUAUUGAUUAGUGCUUAGCUAACCUAUACAGAGUACCCAAUCAACAAACUCUCCGAUGGUUUAUAUAAAUGUAUCAAUGAGCAGAAUUUGAACUAAUUAAGUGGUCCGAAACAAACGAUGGUUAUAUAGUGUAGAAUAGGAAAAGGAAACACAACAAAAGUUAAAUGGUA
Long non-coding RNA from Brassica rapa (field mustard), 574 nucleotides. RefSeq lists it as uncharacterized. Lineage: Eukaryota; Viridiplantae; Streptophyta; Magnoliopsida; Brassicales; Brassicaceae. The record is from RefSeq and is a predicted model, not a curated record.